CUCCGCUGUACAAGCCGAACGCUUCUUCACCAAGCUCAUUGAAAAAGAAGUAUUUCUUAUUCAUUCAUUUCUAGUUUCACUGGGUCUUCUCUUGAUUAUACUUAUUGAAAUUUUGAAUAUUUGUUGAAUGUCGUAUGAAUUUAGAUGAAUGUAAGGUGUUAAAUGGUUUGAUUGAAGCUGAGGGGACGCGUGAGCUUAAUUUAAUUGCUUUUUCUUUUCUUGUCGGUUAAGUGUAGUUCAGAGGACGGAUUUGUAUGCAGAACUUUAGCUUGAUCUGAUCUUUCUCUUCUAUUGAUUUUGCUGAACUUUCUUGUUUACUGAUUUCUGCUAUUGAUUUGACUGAUUUUGUUAUGAUUUACUUAUUGAAAUUUUUGUUAUUAAGAUUAAUUUAUUGAAUGUUACUGAAUUUUGAUGAAUGUAAGAUGUUAAAUGGUUUGAUUGAAGCUGAAGGAAGCAUGAGUUUAAGUUAAUUGAUUUUUCGUUUCUUUUUUGGGGUUGGGGGUCUUAAGAGUUAAAUCUAGUGCGAAGGAUCAGAUUUGUAUGGAAAACUUAAGCUUGGUCUGAUCUUUCAUUUUCUUCAAUGGAUUCAUGUUUACUGAAUUUUAUUGUUUUUCGAAAAAUAAGGAUAUGUCUGGAUUUGUACGCAAAACUUUAACUUGAUAUGAUCUUUCAUUUUUUUCAAUUGGCUUAUAUUAUGGGCUUUUUGCAUGAUUAAAAUUGAGGAUAAAAUGGAUGGAUUUAUUGUAGAUUAACUACCUAAAUGGUCUAGUUAAGCUUGACAAAGAAUGUGAACAUAAUUCAGUUUAUACAAGAGAUAGCUUGACCCAAAAUUGAAUCUGCACUCUUUUUUUAUUUGAUUAUUUGCCCUUCGAGAAGGAUCCACAUUUGGUACAAUGGUAAAUUUGAUAAUAAUCAGUUUUGUGAUUUGAAGGAGUUAAACUUCAACAUGACCAUUUAGUUCCAUGCAUUGAAUAAUUUUGACACAAUAUAGUUUGAAAAUGACGUUGUCGAGAACUACCUCCACUUUUUCCUCCUAAAAUUUAAACCUUAUCUUGGAUGUCACACUUCUUGAAAAUUCUAUGUUUUCUGUAACAUGGGAGAAACAUAGUAAAGAAAAAC
RNAcentral lists this long non-coding RNA (1119 nucleotides) under Olea europaea subsp. europaea. The record is from RNAcentral. Lineage: Eukaryota; Viridiplantae; Streptophyta; Magnoliopsida; Lamiales; Oleaceae.